RNAcentral lists this ribosomal RNA (251 nucleotides) under uncultured prokaryote. Its description in RNAcentral is "partial 16S rRNA". It matches the Rfam family "Bacterial small subunit ribosomal RNA", at positions 525 to 775 of the family's 1533-position model. The record is from RNAcentral.
ACGGAGGAUGCAAGCGUUAUCCGGAUUUAUUAGGUUUAAAGGGUGUGUAGGCGGAUGUAUAAGUCAGUGGUGAAAGUCAGCAGCUUAACUGUAGAAUUGCCAUUGAUACUGUAUGUCUUGAGUGUGGUUGAGGUAUGCGGAAUGUGUAAUAUGGCGGUGAAAAGACUACAAAUUACACUGAACAACGAUUGCGAGGGGAUCAUGCUAGGCUACAACUCACACUGAUGCUCGUGAGUGUGUUGUUAAUACAG